GAAAGUCUGCANCUUAACUGUAGAACUGCCAUUGAUACUGUAGACCUUGAAUUAGUAUGAAGUGGUUAGAAUGUGUAGUGUAGCGGUGAAAUGCAUAGAUAUUACACAGAAUACCGAUUGCGAAGGCAGAUCACUAAUACUAUAUUGACGCUGAUGGACGAAAGCGUAGGUAGCGAACAGGAUUAGAUACCCUGGUAGUCUACGCCGUAAACGAUGGUUACUAGCUGUCCGGCCUAAUUGAGGGCUGGGUGGUUAAGCGAAAGUGAUAAGUAACCCACCUGGGGAGUACGUUCGCAAGAAUGAAACUCAAAGGAAUUGACGGGGGCCCGCACAAGCGGUGGAGCAUGUGGUUUAAUUCGAUGAUACGCGAGGAACCUUACCAGGGCUUAAAUGCAGUCUGACGUAUUUGGAAACAGAUAUUUCUUCGGACAGAUUGCAAGGUGCUGCAUGGUUGUCGUCAGCUCGUGCCGUGAGGUGUCAGGUUAAGUCCUAUAACGAGCGCAACCCCUGUGGUUAGUUGCCAGCACGUAAUGGUGGGAACUCUAGCCAGACUGCCGGUGCAAACCGUGAGGAAGGUGGGGAUGACGUCAAAUCAUCACGGCCCUUACGUCCUGGGCCACACACGUGCUACAAUGGUAGGGACAGAGAGCAGCCACUUCGCGAGAAGGAGCGAAUCUAUAAACCCUAUCA
Molecule: ribosomal RNA, 690 nt
Filed under: Zunongwangia sp.
Lineage: Bacteria; Pseudomonadati; Bacteroidota; Flavobacteriia; Flavobacteriales; Flavobacteriaceae
Description: bacterial SSU rRNA
Rfam family: Bacterial small subunit ribosomal RNA
Source: RNAcentral